AACGCGAAGAACCUUACCAGGUCUUGACAUCCCUCUGACCGUCCUAGAGAUAGGGCUUUCCUUCGGGACAGAGGAGACAGGUGGUGCAUGGUUGUCGUCAGCUCGUGUCGUGAGAUGUUGGGUUAAGUCCCGCAACGAGCGCAACCCUUGAUCUUAGUUGCCAGCACUUCGGGUGGGCACUCUAGGAUGACUGCCGGUGACAAACCGGAGGAAGGUGGGGAUGACGUCAAAUCAUCAUGCCCCUUAUGACCUGGGCUACACACGUACUACAAUGGCCGAUACAACGGGAAGCGAAACCGCGAGGUGGAGCCAAUCCUAUCAAAGUCGGUCUCAGUUCGGAUUGCAGGCUGCAACUCGCCUGCAUGAAGUCGGAAUUGCUAGUAAUCGCGGAUCAGCAUGCCGCGGUGAAUACGUUCCCGGGCCUUGUA
This 428-nucleotide ribosomal RNA is filed under the name uncultured Bacillota bacterium. RNAcentral describes it as "bacterial SSU rRNA". It matches the Rfam family "Bacterial small subunit ribosomal RNA", at positions 958 to 1385 of the family's 1533-position model. The record is from RNAcentral. Lineage: Bacteria; Bacillati; Bacillota.